UGCAAUCUGAUAUGAAUGUUCUUUAGUGUUCUGAUUAAUCUGUGAUUAAUACACUAAAAUAACCAUCUUUUGGCUGAGAUUGCA
Small nucleolar RNA from Gastrolobium bilobum, 84 nucleotides. The record is from RefSeq and is a predicted model, not a curated record. Lineage: Eukaryota; Viridiplantae; Streptophyta; Magnoliopsida; Fabales; Fabaceae.